This 299-nucleotide long non-coding RNA is filed under the name Carica papaya (papaya). Its description in RNAcentral is "long non-coding RNA (CPAP_LNC005081)". Lineage: Eukaryota; Viridiplantae; Streptophyta; Magnoliopsida; Brassicales; Caricaceae. The record is from RNAcentral.
UCUAAACGAACGCAUUGACCUUCUAUUUUUGAUCGUCAGCAACUACGCUAUUGUUCAUAUCAGGUCGAUUCACACAUAGAUCUGUCUUGUCGCCCACUACCGCUUUAAUCUUCUUCUACAGCCAGUUUGCCACGUCUCUUUUCCUCUUCUUCUUCUUCUUUUUCUUUGCUUUCUUAUUCUUUUUAUUCUUCUUCUAAUUCUCUCCUCCACCACCUCUCUCUCCUACUGUGUCUUCCUUCCGCCAUGCCUCUCUCUCUCCUUUCCCUUCUAGCUGCCAACUCUCCCAUCAGCCUUCCUUU